Non-coding RNA from Pelobates cultripes (western spadefoot toad), 347 nucleotides. The record is from the annotation of a GenBank genome assembly. NCBI's taxonomy places the organism in Eukaryota, Metazoa, Chordata, Amphibia, Anura, Pelobatidae.
CUGUGGCGGUGGAGGAGGAGGAAGAGGUAGCCAACACUGUAUGUUUAUUUUUUUUAAUUUUUUUUUAUUGUGGUAGCCCCCAAAAUAUCGGGACAUAUAAAAAAAAAAAGAAAACUCUGUUCUGCAGAGUAGCUGUUGACAUUAUAGUUGCGCAGGAACUUUGUUGACUCUAGAGAACCGUGGGCAAAUCACACAUCCCUGUGGCGGCGACUUUGCAUGCGGAUGUCAUCCAUAUCAACUGUCGAUGCCAGUUUCUGCGCCUACCAUGGUGACCAUGGGUAACGAGGAAUCAGGGUUCCAUUCUGUACAGGGACCCUAAGAAACAGUUACCACAUGCAAGGAAGGCA